UACGUAGGGUCCGAGCGUUAAUCGGAAUUACUGGGCGUAAAGCGUGCGCAGGCGGUUUUGUAAGCCAGAUGUGAAAACCCCGGGCUCAACCUGGGAACUGCAUUUGGGACUGGCAAGGCUGGAGUACGGCAGAGGGAGGUGGAAUCCACGUGUAGCAGUGAAUGCGUAGAGAUGUGGAGGAACACCGAUGGCGAAGGCAGCCUCCUGGGCUAGUACGUGACGCUCGAGUGC
This 231-nucleotide ribosomal RNA is filed under the name uncultured bacterium. Its description in RNAcentral is "partial 16S ribosomal RNA". It matches the Rfam family "Bacterial small subunit ribosomal RNA", at positions 524 to 754 of the family's 1533-position model. The record is from RNAcentral.